RNAcentral lists this ribosomal RNA (492 nucleotides) under uncultured bacterium. Its description in RNAcentral is "partial 16S ribosomal RNA". It matches the Rfam family "Bacterial small subunit ribosomal RNA", at positions 29 to 507 of the family's 1533-position model. The record is from RNAcentral.
AGUGAACGCUGGCGGUAGGCCUAACACAUGCAAGUCGAACGGCAGCACAGUAAGAGCUUGCUCUUACGGGUGGCGAGUGGCGGACGGGUGAGGAAUACAUCGGAAUCUACUUUUUCGUGGGGGAUAACGUAGGGAAACUUACGCUAAUACCGCAUACGACCUACGGGUGAAAGCAGGGGAUCUUCGGACCUUGCGCGAUUGAAUGAGCCGAUGUCGGAUUAGCUAGUUGGCGGGGUAAAGGCCCACCAAGGCGACGAUCCGUAGCUGGUCUGAGAGGAUGAUCAGCCACAAUGGAACUGAGACACGGUCCAGACUCCUACGGGAGGCAGCAGUGGGGAAUAUUGGACAAUGGGCACAAGCCUGAUCCAGCCAUACCGCGUGGGUGAAGAAGGCCUUCGGGUUGUAAAGCCCUUUUGUUGGGAAAGAAAAGCAGCAGGUUAAUACCCCGCUGUUCUGACGGUACCCAAAGAAUAAGCACCGGCUAACUUCGUG